Molecule: ribosomal RNA, 375 nt
Filed under: Naididae sp. N4
Lineage: Eukaryota; Metazoa; Annelida; Clitellata; Tubificida; Naididae
Description: partial small subunit ribosomal RNA
Rfam family: Bacterial small subunit ribosomal RNA
Source: RNAcentral
UAGGAUUAGAUACCCUAUUAUUCAUAUCAAAAAUAUAAUGCUGGACAGUAAAAACAACAGUUUAAAAUCUAAAGAUCUUGGCGGCGUUUCAUCUAAUCAGGGGAACCUGUUCCUUAAUCCGAUAAUCCACGCAUAAUCUACCAUUUUUUGAAUAACAGCCUGUAUACUGCCGUCCCAAGUAUACUUCUAAGAAACUAUACAACAAUAGAUAAACUACAGAUGUCAGGUCAUAGUACAGCUAAUAAAAUGGAGGAAAUGGGUUACAACCAACAAAUAGAUGCCACAAUAAAUUCAAAAUUUUAUAAAAAGAUGGACUUGAUAGUAAUAACUAGAUACAAAACAGUUAUGAAAUAGAAUCUGAAGCGUGCACACAUC